UACAGAGGUCUCAAGCGUUGUUCGGAUUCAUUGGGCGUAAAGGGUGCGUAGGCGGCGCGGUAAGUCGGGUGUGAAAUCUCGGAGCUUAACUCCGAAACUGCAUUCGAUACUGCCGUGCUUGAGGACUGGAGAGGAGACUGGAAUUUACGGUGUAGCAGUGAAAUGCGUAGAUAUCGUGAGGAAGACCAGUGGCGAAGGCGGGUCUCUGGACAGUUCCUGACGCUGAGGCGCGAAGGCCAGGGGAGCAAACAGG
Molecule: ribosomal RNA, 253 nt
Filed under: uncultured bacterium
Lineage: Bacteria
Description: partial 16S ribosomal RNA
Rfam family: Bacterial small subunit ribosomal RNA
Source: RNAcentral